CAUGGUAAAUUUUAUCAUGGAAUAUUCAAAUCAUCAUAAUCAGUUCCUUAGAAUCCGUGAGUCGUUACGCCUUGGGGACUCGUGAAGAAAAAAACGUAUUACAGUCAGCUGACUUUUCAAUCUUUUUCGCAACCCAUGAAAAGACCACCCUGACAUUGACAUACAUCUAAGGACUGGCCUUACGGGCACUAAAAAUGGUACUAGUUCAGCGGUGUCACUUACGAAUUCGAGCCAAUCGUGCAUGCUAACGCAACUAGUUGCGAACAAUCGCGCGCGUGAUGCGAACUCAUCAACCAAUCGCGUUGUAGCGGUGUUUAUUGCCCGUAAGGCCAGUCCUUAGAUAUCUACGUCAAUGCCCCCUGACCUUUUCAUGGGUUGAGAAAAAGAUUGAAAAACACUUGAAUUGGUUGAAAACGUCACAUAUAGCAUGAUUAUUGAUUUUAACAUUCAGCCUAGCCAAGAUGCCAAUCGUUUGUGCCGUAUCGAACGAAACGCUAACGUCUCUGUCGCACUUAAAAUGUAAAGAGUGAUUGAACUUAUUUGGCUUGCUUUAUAUAUAUCUUAUAGUCUUAUUACUAUACUGCAAACCGUAAUUCAAGACCAAAAAAAGUAAGAAAUUGUUGCCACUUUUCACUAGCGCGUCUUGUAUUUAUGUAAAAAUAAGUAAAUAAAAGUACUUUUUUAAAUCGCAGGAGUAAAAUUACUAAUAAAUAAAUUAUCUUAGCGUGAUUAUUUAUCAAAAGGAAUUUACAGAAUUUACUAUUUUACAAACAAAUUAUUGCAGUGGCAACAUUGUCUUACUUUUUUCGGUCUUGAAUUACGUUUUGCAGUUUCCGAAUUCCGAGUUCUACGAUAAAAUAUAACAUGCUAUUAGAGGAUAAUGAAAGAGAUAACAAAUUCUUAGUGUACUGCAAUAUUUAUAUGUUUUUUAAAACAUAUAAUGUCAAUAAUUAUACAUACAUAAUAUUUAACGUUUAAAGUUGCUUUUUGUCACUUCGUAAGUUUCAUGGGAAAGCUUAUAACAGAGGGCCUACCGCGAACCACGUUCGACGUGUUACCUCUCUUUCACAUUUACGUACGAGCCUACAAGUGCGACAGAGAGGCAACAAAACAAGAGUUAUUACACUAUCGGUGGUAUCACAAAACAAGAAAUACAAUUUUGAACUUUGUUGCUUAUGUAGUAAGAUACUAAAUUCCAAUACACACGCCCUAGAAUUGUUAGCUGUUUAGAAGCUAUGGAUACAUUUUAAUAAUUGCGCUGUGCGCUUUAUUGGUGUUGCACCAAAUUUUUAACAAAAUAGCAUACUUUAUACUUACACUAUAACAAGAGAAAUGUAUAUGGUACGAGUUUCUCCAAAGAACAUUACGUUAGGUAGGCGAGGUGUGAUAUCAUACGUGUAUAGGCAGGUCCACUUCACACAGAGCGAGCAGCCUCGCGAGGAAACUCGUACUGUACAUUGUACAAAUGGCCCUAAGCAUGGCAGUGUAUAACAGGUCCACCUGGUGUGUAAGGUAACGUAGCAUAUGUAUGUAACUUAAGGGUGUCACAUCUCUUUAAAAAAACCUAAAAUAAUGGUUGUAAUAAUAAGAUUAUAAGAGCAUCUCUGCACUCUUGCCGCCGCAGUUAUGUAGCUCGCCUUUACUGACGAGGCGCGUAGAGUCAUAUGUAGAGCGUGUGGUAUUAUAAGAGCAUCUCUGCACUCUUGCCGCCGCAGUUAUGUAGCUCGGUAGAGCGUCCGUCGAGCUCGACGAGCCACUCGUACCACACGCGGUGCGAGUCCACGCAGCGCCAGAACCGAGCCGUGAUGACGGAGCCUUUACUGACGAGGCACGUAGAGUCAUAUGUAGAGCGUGUGGUAUUAUAAGAGCAUCUCUGCACUCUUGCCGCCGCAGUUAUGUAGCUCGCCUUUACUGACGAGGCACGUAGAGUCAUAUGUAGAGCGUGUGGUAUUAUAAGAGCAUCUCUGCACUCUUGCCGCCGCAGUUAUGUAGCUCGGUAGAGCGUCCGUCGAGCUCGACGAGCC
This is a long non-coding RNA of Cydia splendana, 2024 nucleotides long. RefSeq lists it as uncharacterized. The record is from RefSeq and is a predicted model, not a curated record. Lineage: Eukaryota; Metazoa; Arthropoda; Insecta; Lepidoptera; Tortricidae. The transcript has 3 exons.